CGCUGUCAUUUAAUACAGCUUUGCUUCUGUUUAUUUUAUUCUUUUAAUGAUGUGCGCUAAGGGCCAAGGCAAUGUACAGCCCUCCCGUGCUUUUCAGCCUCAGAUUUCCAGAUGUGGGCAAGUGUGCCCUCUUUCUAGGCCUUCUUGACCUCAGCACCCUUUCUUUUUGGCUGGAUCCGUCAUGGGAGGAUGGAGCUGGCCUGCGCCUUGUAGGGUGUUGAGCGAUGUCCCUGGCCAUGAGAUGCCCGUUACCGCCUGAGUUGUGACAACCAAAACUGUCACCACACAUUGCAGAUUCCCUUGGGGAGAAAGGCGGGGGCCCAGGCAGAGUCCUUAGAGUUGAGAAUCACGGUGGCAUGGCCAUGCCUUUAUGGCCACAACUUAAAUUUGGAUCCUGCCAGAACUUUCUUUACCCUUCCUCAUUUCAUACCACUUCCUAAUUGCUUUCCAUCUCUUUGGGUGAUGGAGACCAUACAUUUCUCAGUGUUGAAUUUUUUUUCUCUUUAGGAUCCACGCUCUCCUUGUUAGACUUGGAUGCUUAGACUCGGUUUAUCAUUUAAAUUGCGUUGUUCUUUCUAGUUGGAAUAUUCAUAUGCAGCUCUCCCCUCUGCCCAAAGGCAUUUGUUGGUCUCCCUUCUGGUAUUUCCCCCUCAUAUUCCCAAAAUCCACUCCCUAGAGCAUUAGAGAACUGUUUAUUAUACCGAGUAAUUAAAGUGACACUUGUUCUCUGCUAGGAAAGAAGGAGGUCGUAUUUUCUGAAACUCUGCUUUUUUUUUUUUUUUUUUUUUUUUUUUUGGUCUUUUGUCUUUUUAGGACCGCACACGUGUCAUAUGGAGGUUCCCAGGCUAGGGGUUGAAUCGGAACUACAGCUGCUGGCCUACACCACAGCCACAGCAAUGCAGGAUCCGAGUCAUGUCUUUGACAGACACCACAGCUCACAGCAACACCGGAUCCCUAACCCACUGAGCAAGGCCAGGGAUUGAACCCACAACCUCAUGGUUACUAGUUAGGUUCAUUAACCACUGAGCCACGACAGGAACGCCAAGCUUUGCUUUUUAAUUUUAUUUUUUAUUUUUUUCAAUAUAGACUGAGCUGUUGCCAAAAUAGCACUGAGAGGUCCUGUGUACCUGUCACCCAGCUUCCCUGGUGGUGACAUCUUAUAUAAGGGUGGAUAAUUACAGUAUCAAAACCAAGAAGUUGGUACUGGAGCAAUUACAGCCCUCAUUCAGAUUUCCACAUCCAUUCAUCUGUGUGCAUGAGCACGUGGUUCUAAGCAAUGUUAUGACAGUAUAGAUGCAUGCAGCCACCAGCACAGCCAUGCUACAGAACUCUCCAUGCUUCCUGCCUCUCCCCAGUCCUUAGUAACCACUCAUCUGUUCUUCUCUAAGAUCUUGUCAUUUGAGACUGUUAUGUAAGUGGAAGCAGCGUGUAAAUCUGAGAUGGGCAUUUCUCACUCCUGUGAGACUCCCCCAGGUUCUGUGCAUUGGUACUGUGUUGCAUUGUAUUUCCGUAGCAUUCCAGUGUACUGGUCUCCUUUAAUACCUGUGCGAACACCCAUUAUCAUUCUGAGGCCAGCAGUUAUUUGUGUAAUAAAUUACUCUUGGUUUUGUCCCCUGGCUGCUGAGAGCUCAGAUUCACCUGGCCUUCCUUGUUUACUUCUUGUAGUGUAUUUCUGUGCUGCUGUCAAAGAACUUUUUGAUUCGUGACUCUGUCUCAAGUAGUUUGAGGUUGAUUUGGUCAGCCCUGGUGCACUUGAACUCCUGCUCAUCAUCCUACCAAGCAGCGGAUUCCUACUCAUGGUCUCUUUCCCUGAGACAGAAGCUUCAUGCAAUCAAUGGCUUUUGCUGGCUAGGCUGUCGAGGUCACAGCCUUAGCAUAUGAUGGCCCCAGUGGACCAGCCAGGCGAGCAAAUGGAUGUUGGAGUUUGCUCUAGCGCAGACUUCUUGGACGCUGAACAAAAAUGUGACAACAUGUUCUGGCCAUCUAUCAGUAUCUUGGCAGGACCAGAUGGAAGGGGGUUUCUUUAAUGUAAGGCAAGAUGUCCAGGGCCCUUGAAACUGUCCCACUUGUCAGGCAUGUGGUGGUGGCUGCAGUGAGGGACCAUCUGGGUAGAUAGUGUGACUGGAGAAGCCGGAGCAGCCAAAGUCCAAAGGCGGGUGACCCUGCAAGCGGGGAAACGCCCUCACUCUGGUUCAGGGUCUUGCCUGUUUGGGAGGGAUGCCCAGUGGAGGUGAGCCUGAUAGAAAAGUGAGGGGACCAUUUCCCAGUUAUUUCUUACUGGACCUGGCUUCCUCUUUGCUACCUGCUUCUUACUGCUUCUGGUCCCAUGCUUUGGAGAAAGAGAGUUUAUUGGGCACAGGGGGGAAAAAACUUAGGUAAAUCCCAUGAGAAGGAACUCUCUUUACCUUUUCCAAUCCCCCGCCCCUGACAACUCCCAGGAUGGGCGGUCUGAACUCCCCUGAUACCAGCUGCCAGUUUUUGAGCCAACCCCCCACCCAGGACCCUAAUCUUGCUCCCCUUUCCUUCUGUAAUUAAAAUCAGCUGAGAGUGAGCACUAGGUCCUAGGGAGAUGCCUGGUGUUCUGCUCCAUCUAGGUUGUAUAUGAAAGUGUUUCUCCACGUAGGAAUUUUCUUUCUUUGUAACUCCUGCUUUAUAGGAAUAAAGUUCACCCACUCUUGUUUUUUUUUCCCACCAAGUAUGUUGUGAAGAGUGUGACUAGUGUUUCAGCAGCAAAUAGGUAAGCUGUUCCUUUUACGUGUAAAGGAGAAAUUUUUUAAAAAAUUUAAAUUGGUUUAUAUGAGAUUAACAUGUCAUAAGUAUGUAUGUACAUAUGUAUGCAUAUGUAUAAAUAUUUGUAAUACAUGCAUACACAUAUACAUGUAUAUGUUUGAUUUAGCAUCAUGGUUUCUGACUGAGGCAGGCACAGCUGUUGGUUUGGGGCGAAGUGCCUUACCAAGGCCAAGUUGCCUAAGGGUUUUGGUUCACAUCUAAUAGUUGUAUUGUUUGCUGUCCAGAAGCAGUCUUUGCCAGGUGGUAUUUUGAACUGCUUACAGUUUUCUAAGAAGAUAAAAGUUAGAAGGAGCCUCCCCACUGUCCUACACACUACUUGCCUUGUUAGGUUGGGGCUCAUCAGAAUGCUGCCUUGUUAAUCCCAGCUAUACUGUUUUCCAUAAGAUUUUCAUUCCUUUGGGGAUUCUCUCAAAAGUAGAUGCCAAGUUCAGCUUCAAGGAUAUGAAGUCAGGUGCAGACUGUAAAUUCUGGCAUUAAUUUUCAGGCCUUGAGAACCACUGAAAUUCUUGGAUGUGUCUCUUGGUAAUGUAGCUUUUUCAGCUGUAACAAUUUCCUUCUUGCCUUUGGGCAGAUUUGGUAGGUUAGCUUCCUGUGUUUUAGGUUCUAAAAUCACCUUCACUUAAGGUUCUCUCUGAAAAGGCCAGUGUGCCUUUUUUAUACAUAUUUAUAAGGUGGAAUCUCCUAUUUUUCAAUGUACCUAUCAGAAGCAAAAACAUAUGGGAGUUUCCAUUGUGGCUCAGCGGUAGCAAAUGUAGCUAGUAUCCAUGAGGAUGGGGGCUCGAUCCCUGGCUCUCUCAGUGGGUUAAGGAUCCGGCAUUGCCGUGAACUGUGGUGUAGCUUGCAGACGUGGCUCGGCUCUUGCAUUGCUCUGACUAUGGAUCAGGCCAGCAGCUGCAGCUCCAAUUCAACCUUAGCCUGGGAACUUCCU
This 3718-nucleotide long non-coding RNA is filed under the name Sus scrofa (pig). RNAcentral describes it as "lncRNA (ENSSSCG00000062168.1)". Lineage: Eukaryota; Metazoa; Chordata; Mammalia; Artiodactyla; Suidae. The record is from RNAcentral.